GAUGAACGCUGGCGGCGUGCCUAAUACAUGCAAGUCGAGCGAACGGACGAGAAGCUUGCUUCUCUGAUGUUAGCGGCGGACGGGUGAGUAACACGUGGAUAACCUACCUAUAAGACUGGGAUAACUUCGGGAAACCGGAGCUAAUACCGGAUGAUAUUUUGAACCGCAUGGUUCAAAAGUGAAAGACGGUCUUGCUGUCACUUAUAGAUGGAUCCGCGCUGCAUUAGCUAGUUGGUAAGGUAACGGCUUACCAAGGCAACGAUGCAUAGCCGACCUGAGAGGGUGAUCGGCCACACUGGAACUGAGACACGGUCCAGACUCCUACGGGAGGCAGCAGUAGGGAAUCUUCCGCAAUGGGCGAAAGCCUGACGGAGCAACGCCGCGUGAGUGAUGAAGGUCUUCGGAUCGUAAAACUCUGUUAUUAGGGAAGAACAUAUGUGUAAGUAACUGUGCACAUCUUGACGGUACCUAAUCAGAAAGCCACGGCUAACUACGUGCCAGCAGCCGCGGUAAUACGUAGGUGGCAAGCGUUAUCCGGAAUUAUUGGGCGUAAAGCGCGCGUAGGCGGUUUUUUAGUCUGAUGUGAAAGCCCACGGCUCAACCGUGGAGGGUCAUUGGAAACUGGAAAACUUGAGUGCAGAAGAGGAAAGUGGAAUUCCAUGUGUAGCGGUGAAAUGCGCAGAGAUAUGGAGGAACACCAGUGGCGAAGGCGACUUUCUGGUCUGUAACUGACGCUGAUGUGCGAAAGCGUGGGGAUCAAACAGGAUUAGAUACCCUGGUAGUCCACGCCGUAAACGAUGAGUGCUAAGUGUUAGGGGGUUUCCGCCCCUUAGUGCUGCAGCUAACGCAUUAAGCACUCCGCCUGGGGAGUACGACCGCAAGGUUGAAACUCAAAGGAAUUGACGGGGACCCGCACAAGCGGUGGAGCAUGUGGUUUAAUUCGAAGCAACGCGAAGAACCUUACCAAAUCUUGACAUCCUUUGACAACUCUAGAGAUAGAGCCUUCCCCUUCGGGGGGGACAAAGUGACAGGUGGUGCAUGGUUGUCGUCAGCUCGUGUCGUGAGAUGUUGGGUUAAGUCCCGCAACGAGCGCAGCCCUUAAGCUUAGUUGCCAUCAUUAAGUUGGGCACUCUAAGUUGACUGCCGGUGACAAACCGGAGGAAGGUGGGGAUGACGUCAAAUCAUCAUGCCCCUUAUGAUUUGGGCUACACACGUGCUACAAUGGACAAUACAAAGGGCAGCGAAACCGCGAGGUCAAGCAAAUCCCAUAAAGUUGUUCUCAGUUCGGAUUGUAGUCUGCAACUCGACUACAUGAAGCUGGAAUCGCUAGUAAUCGUAGAUCAGCAUGCUACGGUGAAUACGUUCCCGGGUCU
This 1373-nucleotide ribosomal RNA is filed under the name uncultured bacterium. RNAcentral describes it as "bacterial SSU rRNA". It matches the Rfam family "Bacterial small subunit ribosomal RNA", at positions 28 to 1381 of the family's 1533-position model. The record is from RNAcentral.